AGUGAACGCUGGCGGCAGGCCUAACACAUGCAAGUCGAGCGGCGGCGCGGGGGCAACCCUGGCGGCGAGCGGCGGACGGGUGAGGAAUUCGUCGGAAUCUGCCUUUUUGUGGGGGAUAACGUAGGGAAACUUACGCUAAUACCGCAUACGUCCUACGGGAGAAAGUGGGGGACCGCAAGGCCUCACGCAGAAAGAUGAGCCGACGACCGAUUAGCUAGUUGGUGGGGUAAAGGCCCACCAAGGCGACGAUCGGUAGCUGGUCUGAGAGGAUGAUCAGCCACACUGGGACUGAGACACGGCCCAGACUCCUACGGGAGGCAGCAGUGGGGAAUAUUGGACAAUGGGCGCAAGCCUGAUCCAGCCAUGCCGCGUGUGUGAAGAAGGCCUUCGGGUUGUAAAGCACUUUUGUCCGGAAAGAAAUCCCUGGAGCUAAUACCUUCGGGGGAUGACGGUACCGGAAGAAUAAGCACCGGCUAACUUCGUG
This 484-nucleotide ribosomal RNA is filed under the name uncultured bacterium. RNAcentral's name for it is "partial 16S ribosomal RNA". It matches the Rfam family "Bacterial small subunit ribosomal RNA", at positions 29 to 507 of the family's 1533-position model. The record is from RNAcentral.